RNAcentral lists this ribosomal RNA (404 nucleotides) under Actinomycetes bacterium. Its description in RNAcentral is "Actinobacteria bacterium partial 16S ribosomal RNA". It matches the Rfam family "Bacterial small subunit ribosomal RNA", at positions 355 to 776 of the family's 1533-position model. The record is from RNAcentral. Lineage: Bacteria; Bacillati; Actinomycetota; Actinomycetes.
UGGGGAAUAUUGGACAAUGGGCGCAAGCCUGAUCCAGCCAUGCCGCGUGAGUGAUGAAGGCCCUAGGGUGGUAAAGCUCUUUCACCGGUGAAGAUAAUGACGGUAACCGGAGAAGAAGCCCCGGCUAACUACGUGCCAGCAGCCGCGGUAAUACGAAGGGGGCUAGCGUUGUUCGGAUUUACUGGGCGUAAAGCGCACGUAGGCGGACUUUUAAGUCAGGGGUGAAAUCCCGGGGCUCAACCCCGGAACUGCCUUUGAUACUGGAAGUCUUGAGUAUGGUAGAGGUGAGUGGAAUUCCGAGUGUAGAGGUGAAAUUCGUAGAUAUUCGGAGGAACACCAGUGGCGAAGGCGGCUCACUGGACCAUUACUGACGCUGAGGUGCGAAAGCGUGGGGAGCAAACAGG